AGAACGAACGCUGGCGGCAUGCCUAACACAUGCAAGUCGAACGGGACCUUCGGGUCUAGUGGCGCACGGGUGCGUAACGCGUGGGGAUCUGCCCUUAGGUACGGAAUAACUCAGGGAAACUUGAGCUAAUACCGUAUAAUGACUUCGGUCCAAAGAUUUAUCGCCUAGGGAUGAACCCGCGUAGGAUUAGCCUGUUGGUGAGGUAAAGGCUCACCAAGGCGACGAUCCUUAGCUGGUCUGAGAGGAUGAUCAGCCACACUGGGACUGAGACACGGCCCAGACUCCUACGGGAGCAGCAGUGGGAAUAGUUGGACAAGUGGGACGAAAGCCUGAUCCAGACAAGUGACCGCGUGAGUGAUGAAGGUCCUUAGGGUUAGUAAGUCUUACGUUUUACCCGGGAUGAUAAUGACGAGUACCGGAAGAA
This 424-nucleotide ribosomal RNA is filed under the name uncultured soil bacterium. RNAcentral describes it as "bacterial SSU rRNA". It matches the Rfam family "Bacterial small subunit ribosomal RNA", at positions 26 to 486 of the family's 1533-position model. The record is from RNAcentral.